AACAGAGUAGGAAAUAAAGCGUUAAGUGCUGGAAGGAUGGGAUGUUGCCUUUCGGACGAAGAAUAUAGGAGAACAGUGAUCUAGCUGUA
RNAcentral lists this non-coding RNA (89 nucleotides) under Enterococcus sp. Its description in RNAcentral is "THF-I sequence". It matches the Rfam family "THF (Tetrahydrofolate) riboswitch aptamer", at positions 1 to 82 of the family's 99-position model. Rfam says of the family: THF riboswitch presents a pseudoknot that joins P1-P2 and the loop of P3 and two THF binding. Lineage: Bacteria; Bacillati; Bacillota; Bacilli; Lactobacillales; Enterococcaceae. The record is from RNAcentral.